Molecule: non-coding RNA, 27 nt
Filed under: Bombyx mori (domestic silkworm)
Lineage: Eukaryota; Metazoa; Arthropoda; Insecta; Lepidoptera; Bombycidae
Source: RNAcentral
AGCAGACAAGAUAUACGAGGUCGUGAC